Molecule: ribosomal RNA, 267 nt
Filed under: uncultured bacterium
Lineage: Bacteria
Description: partial 16S ribosomal RNA
Rfam family: Bacterial small subunit ribosomal RNA
Source: RNAcentral
GCAAGUCGAGCGAGCAUUUGUUUGAUGGAGACUUCGGUUGAAGACAAACAAAGAAAAGCGGCUUACGGGUGAGUAACCCGUGGGCAACCUGCCCUAUACAAAGGGAUAGCCACUGGAAACGGUGAUUAAUACCUUAUAAGACUACAAAGACACAUGUUUUAGUAGUCAAAGGUCCGGCGGUAUAGGAUGGGCCCGCGUUUGAUUAGCUAGUUGGUGAGGUAACGGCUCACCAAGGCGACGAUCAAUAGCCGACCUGAGAGGGUGAUC